This 550-nucleotide ribosomal RNA is filed under the name Bifidobacterium longum subsp. infantis. RNAcentral's name for it is "bacterial SSU rRNA". It matches the Rfam family "Bacterial small subunit ribosomal RNA", at positions 147 to 710 of the family's 1533-position model. The record is from RNAcentral. Lineage: Bacteria; Bacillati; Actinomycetota; Actinomycetes; Bifidobacteriales; Bifidobacteriaceae.
CUCCUGGAAACGGGUGGUAAUGCCGGAUGCUCCAGUUUGAUCGCAUGGUCUUCUGGGAAGCUUUCGCGGUAUGGGAUGGGGUCGCGUCCUAUCAGCUUGACGGCGGGGUAACGGCCCACCGUGGCUUCGACGGGUAGCCGGCCUGAGAGGGCGACCGGCCACAUUGGGACUGAGAUACGGCCCAGACUCCUACGGGAGGCAGCAGUGGGGAAUAUUGCACAAUGGGCGCAAGCCUGAUGCAGCGACGCCGCGUGAGGGAUGGAGGCCUUCGGGUUGUAAACCUCUUUUAUCGGGGAGCAAGCGAGAGUGAGUUUACCCGUUGAAUAAGCACCGGCUAACUACGUGCCAGCAGCCGCGGUAAUACGUAGGGUGCAAGCGUUAUCCGGAAUUAUUGGGCGUAAAGGGCUCGUAGGCGGUUCGUCGCGUCCGGUGUGAAAGUCCAUCGCUUAACGGUGGAUCCGCGCCGGGUACGGGCGGGCUUGAGUGCGGUAGGGGAGACUGGAAUUCCCGGGUGUAACGGGUGGAAUGUGUAGAUAUCGGGAAGAACACC